UACGUAGGUGGCAAGCGUUGUCCGGAUUUACUGGGCGUAAAGAGCGCGCAGGCGGUCGUGCAAGUCGCGUGUGAAAGCCCCCGGCUCAACUGGGGAGGGUCACGCGAUACUGCUCGACUCGAAGGCAGGAGAGGGAAGUGGAAUUCCCGGUGUAGUGGUGAAAUGCGUAGAUAUCGGGAGGAACACCAGUGGCGAAGGCGACUUCCCGGCCUGUUCUUGACGCUGAGGCGCGAAAGCUAGGGUAGCAAACGGG
RNAcentral lists this ribosomal RNA (253 nucleotides) under uncultured bacterium. RNAcentral's name for it is "partial 16S ribosomal RNA". It matches the Rfam family "Bacterial small subunit ribosomal RNA", at positions 524 to 776 of the family's 1533-position model. The record is from RNAcentral.